Molecule: long non-coding RNA, 332 nt
Organism: Triticum aestivum (bread wheat)
Lineage: Eukaryota; Viridiplantae; Streptophyta; Magnoliopsida; Poales; Poaceae
Exons: 3
Source: RefSeq, a predicted model, not a curated record
GCCUGCUUUCCAUGAUGUACUGAUGUCAUUGAUGUGCCUUUUGUGAUGAGAAAGGAACUAGGUAUUGCAGAUGAUGUUACGGUGGUCAUUUUCUACAUUUGAGGACAGAUUGCCAAGAUAAAUAGAGGAUGCAUGGAUAAGUUGUUUUUGGCAAGGCAGAGAAUGGGACUACUACCAAGAUAGUUUUACAUUAAGUUUUUAGAAAGCCAUUUUCAUGGUCAAUGUAUAUAAAAUGAUGUGAUGUCAUUUUCAGGGUCAAUGUAAAGAAAAUCAUGUGUUUACUCUUUCGAUUUUGUUCCAUGUAAUGCAACCAAUCAGAUUCAAUAUAUGAG